This 653-nucleotide ribosomal RNA is filed under the name uncultured Steroidobacter sp. RNAcentral describes it as "bacterial SSU rRNA". It matches the Rfam family "Bacterial small subunit ribosomal RNA", at positions 28 to 674 of the family's 1533-position model. Lineage: Bacteria; Pseudomonadati; Pseudomonadota; Gammaproteobacteria; Steroidobacterales; Steroidobacteraceae. The record is from RNAcentral.
AUUGAACGCUGGCGGCGUGCCUAACACAUGCAAGUCGAGCGGUAACAGGUGUAGCAAUACAUGCUGACGAGCGGCGGACGGGUGAGUAACGCUUGGGAAUCUGCCUGAUAGUGGGGGACAACCCGGGGAAACUCGGGCUAAUACCGCAUACGCACUACGGUGGAAAGCCGGGGACCGCAAGGCCUGGCGCUACCAGAUGAGCCCAAGUCGGAUUAGCUAGUUGGUAGGGUAACGGCCUACCAAGGCGACGAUCCGUAACUGGUCUGAGAGGACGACCAGUCACACCGGAACUGAGACACGGUCCGGACUCCUACGGGAGGCAGCAGUGGGGAAUAUUGGACAAUGGGCGAAAGCCUGAUCCAGCGACGCCGCGUGGGUGAAGAAGGCCUGCGGGUUGUAAAGCCCUUUCGGUGGGGAAGAAAAGCCUCGAGCUAAUACCUCGGGGUCUUGACGUAACCCAUAGAAGAAGCACCGGCUAACUCUGUGCCAGCAGCCGCGGUAAUACAGAGGGUGCGAGCGUUAAUCGGAAUUACUGGGCGUAAAGCGCGCGUAGGCGGCUUUGCAAGUCGGGUGUGAAAUCCCCAGGCUUAACCUGGGAACUGCAUUCGAGACUGCAUUGCUAGAGUAUGGGAGAGGGAAGUGGAAUUUCCGGU